GAUGAACGCUGGCGGCGUGCCUAAUACAUGCAAGUCGAGCGAACAGACGAGGAGCUUGCUCCUCUGACGUUAGCGGCGGACGGGUGAGUAACACGUGGAUAACCUACCUAUAAGACUGGGAUAACUUCGGGAAACCGGAGCUAAUACCGGAUAAUAUAUUGAACCGCAUGGUUCAAUAGUGAAAGACGGUUUUGCUGUCACUUAUAGAUGGAUCCGCGCCGCAUUAGCUAGUUGGUAAGGUAACGGCUUACCAAGGCAACGAUGCGUAGCCGACCUGAGAGGGUGAUUGGCCACAACGGAACUGAGACACGGUCCAGACUCCUAAGGGAGGCAGCAGUAGGGAAUCUUCCGCAAUGGGCGAAAGCCUGACGGAGCAACGCCGCGUGAGUGAUGAAGGUCUUCGGAUCGUAAAACUCUGUUAUUAGGGAAGAACAAAUGUGUAAGUAACUAUGCACGUCUUGACGGUAACUAAUCAGAAAGCCACGGCUAACUACGUG
Molecule: ribosomal RNA, 497 nt
Filed under: uncultured bacterium
Lineage: Bacteria
Description: partial 16S ribosomal RNA
Rfam family: Bacterial small subunit ribosomal RNA
Source: RNAcentral